CACCUGAGUAGUAUCCGUGAUUUUAAUGGGACUACUUGAGUGAAAUCAGCUGCUGACACUAUAACUUCUAAAGACAUGCCAGAAAUGGAGUUCCCUGCUGUGUUUUAAAGAUUAGAGAUGCCAUCGGCUGUUAAAGGGAAAAGCUGAACUUUAAAUUUGGCAGGAAUUUCAGCUAAACACCAAUGCCCGAUUCCAAGGGAGAUAUUCAGCCUCAAUAAUUGACUCUAAUUAGAGCCCAAAGAAGAGAACAAACUCUCCUGCUGCUCACAGAGCUUCCUUUCUUUCCUCAAGCUGUCUUGAUACCAGUCCUUGAAUAACCCGAAGUUCACAACACAGCAUGUCUUGCCAAGAGUCCAAAUUUACUCUUAUGCUAAAAACUUGGAAGACUAUGUGCACUAGUGUUACUACUGAUGCCUACCAAAACAGUAUUACUAUAAGAAGUCUUGUAUCAGGUGAGAAUGUACUAAGCUGUGCUGUUCCUUUAUUCUAGCUGUUACACUGAUUGUUACUUGCAGAAGGCUGGAGUCUGCCGCCCCUAGUCACAUUAAAUAGUGUCUAAUGCUGCAAUUAAUCCCAUUGAAACCAAUGGAACUUCAUAUGGAAUGACAUACUGUUAGAAUUUUGCUCAAAAUUAGGGCUUGGUACAACAAAUCCUUGCUAGUAUGAA
Mauremys mutica (yellowpond turtle) is the source of this 667-nucleotide long non-coding RNA. RefSeq lists it as uncharacterized. The transcript has 3 exons. The record is from RefSeq and is a predicted model, not a curated record. Lineage: Eukaryota; Metazoa; Chordata; Testudines; Geoemydidae.